GCUCAGUAGCUCACUUCGUUCACACUUUAUAGAUUGAGUGGAGAAAAGGGAUUUGGGGCUUAGAGUUAGGGCUAGGGUUUCAUUUGUGUGAACUGUGAAGUUUCUCUACGCUCUGCUGAUCUACGCUGCAGGCCUGCAGGUCUCCAUCGGACCACCUCUCGGAUUCGGUGAAUCCCCUCUUCGAGUCUUUGGCAGCUCGGCUCUCCAAGCUCUUGCUUCUCGGUCCUCUCCUUUGGACCUUCAGUCUCCUGGUUUCAAAAAUCCCUCCUUGCCGUCCUCGGCUCUUCCCUCGCAUGGGCGUGGCGAUGACUCUUCAGUCUUCACUCAGUGACUCAGCGUCUUAGCCACUCCACUCGGCACUCAGAUAUUAAAGGGAAAAUAAGCAAUGACUUGCCUAUAGAGGUGGUGGUGCCAAACUUGGAGGAUGCAAUAAUGACACAAGCUAAUUCCCAACAUUAGCAUUCAAAUCCCAGCAUGACAAGUGAGCGUGCUACCAAUCCUCCUACUCAAUCUAAUCAAAAAAUGAGGAAGAGAAUGAGACCAAGAUCUGAAGUGUGGGAUCACUUCACUAAAUUUGUGAUGAAGUCUGGUGAAAUUAAGGAGUUGUCAAAGUUUGCAUUGGAGUCCACAAUUGGUGAAUAAGCCAAACAAAGAAAGACAUAGGGUGAAAUAAGCACAGGGUCAAGAAGCCAUGAAAGUGGGCGUUUCUAAUAUAAGAAGCCAUGAAAUUGUAGCUGUCACUUGUCAACUGAUGUAUGAAGCAUUGAAGCCCUAGUUUUUAUUUUUAUUUUUCAGAAACAAUUUAUAUUUCAUAUUUGUUUUUUAUUUUUAUUUUGCACAAUCUGUUUACAUUGGUCUGUAAUAUAAUAUUAGGGACUUUCAAAUCUUGAAGUCAAAUCUAAGUAGACAUUGCAGACCUUUAAAUUUCAUGU
Malania oleifera is the source of this 932-nucleotide long non-coding RNA. RefSeq lists it as uncharacterized. The record is from RefSeq and is a predicted model, not a curated record. Lineage: Eukaryota; Viridiplantae; Streptophyta; Magnoliopsida; Santalales; Ximeniaceae. The transcript has 4 exons.